CACGAGCAGAGCAGGGCGCUGG
Molecule: microRNA, 22 nt
Filed under: Gallus gallus (chicken)
Lineage: Eukaryota; Metazoa; Chordata; Aves; Galliformes; Phasianidae
Description: gga-miR-12275-3p
Source: miRBase by way of RNAcentral